UACGUAGGGUGCGAGCGUUAAUCGGAAUUACUGGGCGUAAAGCGUGCGCAGGCGGUUUUGUAAGUCUGUCGUGAAAUCCCCGGGCUCAACCUAGGAAUUGCGAUGGAGACUGCAAGGCUAGAAUCUGGCAGAGGGGGGUAGAAUUCCACGUGUAGCAGUGAAAUGCGUAGAGAUGUGGAGGAACACCGAUGGCGAAGGCAGCCCCCUGGGUCAAGAUUGACGCUCAUGCACGAAAGCGUGGGGAGCAAACAGG
Molecule: ribosomal RNA, 253 nt
Filed under: uncultured bacterium
Lineage: Bacteria
Description: partial 16S ribosomal RNA
Rfam family: Bacterial small subunit ribosomal RNA
Source: RNAcentral